Molecule: ribosomal RNA, 930 nt
Filed under: Shigella flexneri
Lineage: Bacteria; Pseudomonadati; Pseudomonadota; Gammaproteobacteria; Enterobacterales; Enterobacteriaceae
Description: partial 23S ribosomal RNA
Rfam family: Bacterial large subunit ribosomal RNA
Source: RNAcentral
GGGUUGUGAGGUUAAGCGACUAAGCGUACACGGUGGAUGCCCUGGCAGUCAGAGGCGAUGAAGGACGUGCUAAUCUGCGAUAAGCGUCGGUAAGGUGAUAUGAACCGUUAUAACCGGCGAUUUCCGAAUGGGGAAACCCAGUGUGAUUCGUCACACUAUCAUUAACUGAAUCCAUAGGUUAAUGAGGCGAACCGGGGGAACUGAAACAUCUAAGUACCCCGAGGAAAAGAAAUCAACCGAGAUUCCCCCAGUAGCGGCGAGCGAACGGGGAGCAGCCCAGAGCCUGAAUCAGUGUGUGUGUUAGUGGAAGCGUCUGGAAAGGCGUGCGAUACAGGGUGACAGCCCCGUACACAAAAAUGCACAUACUGUGAGCUCGAUGAGUAGGGCGGGACACGUGGUAUCCUGUCUGAAUAUGGGGGGACCAUCCUCCAAGGCUAAAUACUCCUGACUGACCGAUAGUGAACCAGUACCGUGAGGGAAAGGCGAAAAGAACCCCGGCGAGGGGAGUGAAAAAGAACCUGAAACCGUGUACGUACAAGCAGUGGGAGCACGCUUAGGCGUGUGACUGCGUACCUUUUGUAUAAUGGGUCAGCGACUUAUAUUCUGUAGCAAGGUUAACCGAAUAGGGGAGCCGAAGGGAAACCGAGUCUUAACUGGGCGUUAAGUUGCAGGGUAUAGACCCGAAACCCGGUGAUCUAGCCAUGGGCAGGUUGAAGGUUGGGUAACACUAACUGGAGGACCGAACCGACUAAUGUUGAAAAAUUAGCGGAUGACUUGUGGCUGGGGGUGAAAGGCCAAUCAAACCGGGAGAUAGCUGGUUCUCCCCGAAAGCUAUUUAGGUAGCGCCUCGUGAAUUCAUCUCCGGGGGUAGAGCACUGUUUCGGCAAGGGGGUCAUCCCGACUUACCAACCCGAUGCAAACUGCGAAUAC